This 575-nucleotide ribosomal RNA is filed under the name uncultured bacterium. Its description in RNAcentral is "partial 16S ribosomal RNA". It matches the Rfam family "Bacterial small subunit ribosomal RNA", at positions 355 to 923 of the family's 1533-position model. The record is from RNAcentral.
UGGGGAAUUUUGGACAAUGGGCGAAAGCCUGAUCCAGCAAUGCCGCGUGUGUGAAGAAGGCCUUCGGGUUGUAAAGCACUUUUGCCCGGAAAGAAAUCCUUGGCUCUAAUACAGUCGGGGGAUGACGGUACCGGAAGAAUAAGCACCGGCUAACUACGUGCCAGCAGCCGCGGUAAUACGUAGGGUGCAAGCGUUAAUCGGAAUUACUGGGCGUAAAGCGUGCGCAGGCGGUUUGCUAAGACCGAUGUGAAAUCCCCGGGCUCAACCUGGGAACUGCAUUGGUGACUGGCAGGCUAGAGUAUGGCAGAGGGGGGUAGAAUUCCACGUGUAGCAGUGAAAUGCGUAGAGAUGUGGAGGAAUACCGAUGGCGAAGGCAGCCCCCUGGGCCAAUACUGACGCUCAUGCACGAAAGCGUGGGGAGCAAACAGGAUUAGAUACCCUGGUAGUCCACGCCCUAAACGAUGUCAACUAGUUGUUGGGGAUUCAUUUCCUUAGUAACGUAGCUAACGCGUGAAGUUGACCGCCUGGGGAGUACGGUCGCAAGAUUAAAACUUAAAGGAAUUGACGGGGUCAUA